Long non-coding RNA from Lepus europaeus (European hare), 718 nucleotides. RefSeq lists it as uncharacterized. The record is from RefSeq and is a predicted model, not a curated record. The transcript is spliced from 3 exons. Lineage: Eukaryota; Metazoa; Chordata; Mammalia; Lagomorpha; Leporidae.
CAUGGCCUGGCGCGAGCGGGCUCUGGCCUAAAAGGAGCCGUCCAAGCCGGCGGAAUCUUUCUGUUUGAGCUGGAAGAAAAUAUGGGGUCAUGGGAUCCAGCGCCGCCCUCGCCCUCCCAGACUCAGAAUGCGAAGACCGAGGAGGCCAGGGCCCUGCCCCGAGGGUUAGGAGCGGGCCCUGGCCGUGGGGGAGGGGCGGUAGAGGGGGGAGCCUUAGGAGCACCCCCUGUGCUGUUAGCAUGUGCAGGCUGCAUUCCAUGGUGGCGCCCCGGACCUGAGCAAGACAAAGCCAGGAUGAUGGGGGCUGUGGGGCCGACACAGGGCAGGGAUGGAGUGACGUGGCCGGCGUCCCACCCCAGCUGCAGAAUCCGGGAAGCCUGUAACGGAGAGGGCAUUGAGGGGCUUCGUCCAUCCGUCCGUGCUGUCAGCCUUGCCAUGGGCUCUGUGAAACCCAAGGCUCCUCCGGAAGAAGCAGCAGAGGAAGUCCAGGGCCCGACAGUGUGGCCCAUUUCACAGACGGUGCUGAUCCCAGGAACACUCGUGGGGAAACCCUGGUGUGCUGGGCCCCGCGUCAGGGCUGCACCGGAAUCCGCCCUGGAACGGUGGGGGUGGGGAUGGUUACGGCGUGGGUAGUAGUAGGAUUCCCCCAAAGGCCCCUGUGUUGGGAGACUUGGUCCCCAAAGGCUUACAUUGACGGCUAAUGGAUUAAAGGUGACAA